GUGGGGAAUAUUGGACAAUGGGCGCAAGCCUGAUCCAGCCAUACCGCGUGGGUGAAGAAGGCCUUCGGGUUGUAAAGCCCUUUUGUUGGGAAAGAAAUCCUGUCGGUUAAUACCUGGCGGGGAUGACGGUACCCAAAGAAUAAGCACCGGCUAACUUCGUGCCAGCAGCCGCGGUAAUACGAAGGGUGCAAGCGUUACUCGGAAUUACUGGGCGUAAAGCGUGCGUAGGUGGUGGUUUAAGUCCGUUGUGAAAGCCCUGGGCUCAACCGGGGAGUUGCAGUGGAUACUGGAUCACUAGAGUGUGGUAGAGGGAUGAGGAAUUUCUGGUGUAGCAGUGAAAUGCGUAGAGAUCAGAAGGAACAUCCGUGGCGAAGGCGGCAUCCUGGGCCAACACUGACACUGAGGCACGAAAGCGUGGGGAGCAAACAGGAUUAGAAACCCCGGUAGUCC
This 450-nucleotide ribosomal RNA is filed under the name uncultured bacterium. RNAcentral describes it as "partial 16S ribosomal RNA". It matches the Rfam family "Bacterial small subunit ribosomal RNA", at positions 354 to 796 of the family's 1533-position model. The record is from RNAcentral.